RNAcentral lists this ribosomal RNA (433 nucleotides) under uncultured bacterium. Its description in RNAcentral is "partial 16S ribosomal RNA". It matches the Rfam family "Bacterial small subunit ribosomal RNA", at positions 29 to 507 of the family's 1533-position model. The record is from RNAcentral.
AACGAACGCUGGCGGCAUGCCUAACACAUGCAAGUCGAACGAGACCUUCGGGUCUAGUGGCGCACGGGUGCGUAACGCGUGGGAACCUGCCCUUAGGUUCGGAAUAACUCCCCGAAAGGGGUGCUAAUACCGGAUAAUGUCUUCGGACCAAAGAUUUAUCGCAUUUGGAUGGGCCCGCGUUGGAUUAGCUAGUUGGUAGGGUAAAAGCCUACCAAGGCGACGAUUCAUAGCUGGUCUGAGAGGAUGAUCAGCCACACUGGGACUGAGACACGGCCCAGACUCCUACGGGAGGCAGCAGUGGGGAAUAUUGGACAAUGGGCGAAGGCCUGAUCCAGCAAUGCCGCGUGAGUGAUGAAGGCCUUAGGGUUGUAAAGCUCUUUUACCCGGGAUGAUAAUGACAGUACCGGGAGAAUAAGCUCCGGCUAACUCCGUG